GAUGAACGCUGGCGGCGUGCCUAAUACAUGCAAGUCGAGCGAACAGACGAGGAGCUUGCUCCUCUGACGUUAGCGGCGGACGGGUGAGUAACACGUGGAUAACCUACCUAUAAGACUGGGAUAACUUCGGGAAACCGGAGCUAAUACCGGAUAAUAUAUUGAACCGCAUGGUUCAAUAGUGAAAGACGGUUUUGCUGUCACUUAUAGAUGGAUCCGCGCCGCAUUAGCUAGUUGGUAAGGUAACGGCUUACCAAGGGAACGAUGCGUAGCCGACCUGAGAGGGUGAUCGGCCACACUGGAACUGAGACACGGUCCAGACUCCUACGGGAGGCAGCAGUAGGGAAUCUUCCGCAAUGGGCGAAAGCCUGACGGAGCAACGCCGCGUGAGUGAUGAAGGUCUUCGGAUCUUAAAACUCUGUUAUUAGGGAAGAACAAAUGUGUAAGUAACUAUGCACGUCGUGACGGUACCUAAUCAGAAAGCCACGGCUAACUACGUG
RNAcentral lists this ribosomal RNA (497 nucleotides) under uncultured bacterium. Its description in RNAcentral is "partial 16S ribosomal RNA". It matches the Rfam family "Bacterial small subunit ribosomal RNA", at positions 28 to 507 of the family's 1533-position model. The record is from RNAcentral.